UGGAGAUAUUUCAGGGAGUCUAGGGAAGGACAAAAAAUUUUAAGAGGUUGGUUCAUUUAUUAGGAGAGGCUAGGAGCACUGACAAUGUUUAUUAAGAAGAAAAGGUUCAUGGGAUCUUCUCUGCAUGUAUACUAACUUGAUGAAAGGAAAAAAAGGAGACAAAACUUGACACUUGAUGGUGUUCAGUGUUAGAAAAUAAAGGCAAUACUCACAAACUGAAAUACAAAUAUAUAUACAUAUAUAUACAUAUAAUGGAGAAAUUUUAUUGUUAUCUAUUUAUUUUCUCAGAGAAGCUAUGGAAUUUUCAUGCUUGGAGAUACUUAAACCUGCCAGAAGAUGGCCCUGAGGUACACAGCUGCAUGCAUGAUUGGGACUGGAAGAUCUCCAGAGGUUCUGACCAGCUUCCGCCACUUUGUGAUACUGCAGUGCUAUGGUGACAAGUGUUGGCCUGAAUCUUGGCUGUGGAGAAACUUUCUGAAGAGGUCCACCAACUUAAAAAGAAUUUAUCUUCCUCACCACCUGUACAAACCAGUGUCUCAGCUAUCAGGGGUAAGCAUCUUUCUGUUCAAGAAAGAAGAUAUAGUGGGUACACACCCCAUGUCAUCCUGUGGUUUUAUCUACGUGAUCAUGGAAAGGACAUGAGAAAAUGGGAUGAAGACUCUACCUUGAACCUAGAGGCACAGGUACACGAGUUGCAGGGGAAAAAAUAAUGAAAAAAAAAAAAAAGGAGGUUCUCUGAGAAACUUGCUGCUACAAUUUCCAGUCGGCAGUCCUCCAAACAUAGUAAUGAAGAUUCUGACCAGGAUUAGAGGGUCACUGCCUCUGGCCAGGGGGAGGAAAGGGUCAAUCAACUUUAGUAGACUAUGUGGAUUCGAUGUCCUGGCACAUCAGACUCACAGAAGUACAAGGUUUAGUAGACAACAGUGCACAGUGUACUGUAAUGCCAUCAAGUGAUAAAGGGCCAGAACCCAUCUGUAUUUCUGGAGUGAGGGGUUGGUUCUAGCUGUUAACUGUAUUGGAGGCUUAAGUGAAUCUAACCGGGAAUGAGUGGUAAAAGCACUGUAUUGUGACUGGCCUUGAUGCUUUUUGCAUCCUUGGCAUAGAAUAUCUCAGGAGAGGAUAUUUCAAGGACCCAAAAAGGUACCAGUGAGCUUUCAGCAUAGCUGCAAGAUAGAAGACAUUAAACAGUUGUCUACCUUAACAGGUCUCUUGGAGGACCCUUCUGUUGUGGGGUGACAUAGCAGAGGAAGUUUUUGAGAAAGGGAAGAAAAUAGUCCAAAUCCUUCUGAACACUGGUUUUGUCAUUAAAAAAAAAAAUAAAAUAAAAUAAAAAAAUAUGGACCUUCCCA
Molecule: long non-coding RNA, 1349 nt
Filed under: Anas platyrhynchos platyrhynchos (common mallard)
Lineage: Eukaryota; Metazoa; Chordata; Aves; Anseriformes; Anatidae
Description: lncRNA (ENSAPLG00000022278.1)
Source: RNAcentral